CCGUCAGUGAUGACAAGAUCACUGCGCAAUCUGAGUUCUUAGGAACCCGGUGAUGGAGUGUGUUCUGAGACGG
This is a small nucleolar RNA of Sorex araneus (European shrew), 73 nucleotides long. The record is from Ensembl. Lineage: Eukaryota; Metazoa; Chordata; Mammalia; Eulipotyphla; Soricidae.